AGGACGAACGCUGGCGGCGUGCUUAACACAUGCAAGUCGAACGGUGAACCCCUUCGGGGGGGAUCAGUGGCGAACGGGUGAGUAACACGUGAGCAACCUGCCCCUGACUCUGGGAUAACCCCGGGAAACCGGAGCUAAUACCGGAUAUGACACCUUCGGGCAUCCGAUGGGUGUGGAAAGAUUUAUCGGUUGAGGAUGGGCCCGCGGCCUAUCAGCUAGUUGGUGGGGUGAUGACCCACCAAGGCGACGACGGGUA
This 256-nucleotide ribosomal RNA is filed under the name uncultured bacterium. RNAcentral's name for it is "partial small subunit ribosomal RNA". It matches the Rfam family "Bacterial small subunit ribosomal RNA", at positions 26 to 285 of the family's 1533-position model. The record is from RNAcentral.